This 933-nucleotide ribosomal RNA is filed under the name uncultured bacterium. RNAcentral describes it as "bacterial SSU rRNA". It matches the Rfam family "Bacterial small subunit ribosomal RNA", at positions 144 to 1091 of the family's 1533-position model. The record is from RNAcentral.
UAAUCCCUGGAAACGGGGACUAAUACCGCAUAUUGAGAUAAUAUCGCAUGGUAAUAUCUUGAAAGAUUUAUCGCUUAUGGAUGGACUCGCGUCAGAUUAGAUAGUUGGUGAGGUAACGGCUCACCAAGUCGACGAUCUGUAGCCGAACUGAGAGGUUGAUCGGCCGCAUUGGGACUGAGACACGGCCCAGACUCCUACGGGAGGCAGCAGUGGGGAAUAUUGCGCAAUGGGGGGAACCCUGACGCAGCAACGCCGCGUGCAGGAAGAAGGCCUUCGGGUUGUAAACUGUUGUCGCUUGUGAAGUAGACAGUGACGGUACCUUGUGAGAAAGUCACGGCUAACUACGUGCCAGCAGCCGCGGUAAUACGUAGGUGACAAGCGUUGUCCGGAUUUACUGGGUGUAAAGGGCGCGUAGGCGGGAUAGCAAGUCAGUCGUGAAAUGCCGGAGCUUAACUCCGGAGCUGCGAUUGAAACUGCCAUCCUUGAGUAUCGGAGAGGAAAGCGGAAUUCCCAGUGUAGCGGUGAAAUGCGUAGAUAUUGGGAGGAACACCAGUGGCGAAGGCGGCUUUCUGGACGACAACUGACGCUGAGGCGCGAAAGUGUGGGGAGCAAACAGGAUUAGAUACCCUGGUAGUCCACACCGUAAACGAUGGAUACUAGGUGUAGGAGGUAUCGACCCCUUCUGUGCCGCAGUUAACACAAUAAGUAUCCCACCUGGGGAGUACGACCGCAAGGUUGAAACUCAAAGGGAAUUGACGGGGGCCCGCACAAGCAGUGGAGUAUGUGGUUUAAUUCGAAGCAACGCGAAGAACCUUACCUGGACUUGACAUCCCGCUGACCGUCUUAGAGAUAGAUUUUCCUUCGGGACAGCGGUGACAGGUGGUGCAUGCUUGUCGUCAGCUCGUGUCGUGAGAUGUUGGGUUAAGUCCCGCA